RNAcentral lists this ribosomal RNA (470 nucleotides) under uncultured bacterium. Its description in RNAcentral is "bacterial SSU rRNA". It matches the Rfam family "Bacterial small subunit ribosomal RNA", at positions 8 to 518 of the family's 1533-position model. The record is from RNAcentral.
AGAGUUUGAUUAUGGCUCGAGAGCGAACGCUGGCGGCAGGCUUAACACAUGCAAGUCGAGCGGGCGUAGCAAUACGUCAGCGGCAGACGGGUGAGUAACGCGUGGGAACGUACCUUUUUGGUUCGGAACAACACAGGGAAACUUGUGCUAAUACCGGAUAAGCCCUUACGGGGAAAGAUUUUAUCGCCGAAAGAUCGGCCCGCGUCUGAUUAGCUAGUUGGUGAGGUAAUGACUCACCAAGGCGACGAUCAGUAGCUGGUCUGAGAGGAUGAUCAGCCACAUUGGGACUGAGACACGGCCCAAACUCCUACGGGAGGCAGCAGUGGGGAAUAUUGGACAAUGGGGGCAACCCUGAUCCCAGCCAUGCCGCGUGAGUGAUGAAGGCCCUAGGGUUGUAAAGCUCUUUUGUGCGGGAAGAUAAUGACGGUACCGCAAGAAUAAGCCCCGGCUAACUUCGUGCCAGCCGCCGC